Molecule: ribosomal RNA, 433 nt
Filed under: uncultured bacterium
Lineage: Bacteria
Description: partial 16S ribosomal RNA
Rfam family: Bacterial small subunit ribosomal RNA
Source: RNAcentral
AACGAACGCUGGCGGCAUGCCUAACACAUGCAAGUCGAACGAGACCUUCGGGUCUAGUGGCGCACGGGUGCGUAACGCGUGGGAACCUGCCUUUAGGUCCGGAAUAACUCAGAGAAAUUUGAGCUAAUACCGGAUGAUGUCUUCGGACCAAAGAUUUAUCGCCUUUAGAUGGGCCCGCGUUGGAUUAGCUAGUUGGUGGGGUAAAGGCCUACCAAGGCGACGAUCCAUAGCUGGUCUGAGAGGAUGAUCAGCCACACUGGGACUGAGACACGGCCCAGACUCCUACGGGAGGCAGCAGUGGGGAAUAUUGGACAAUGGGCGAAAGCCUGAUCCAGCAAUGCCGCGUGAGUGAGGAAGGCCUUAGGGUUGUAAAGCUCUUUUACCCGAGAUGAUAAUGACAGUAUCGGGAGAAUAAGCUCCGGCUAACUCCGUG